AUUGAACGCUGGCGGCAGGCCUAACACAUGCAAGUCGAACGGUAACAGGAAGAAGCUUGCUUCUUUGCUGACGAGUGGCGGACGGGUGAGUAAUGUCUGGGAAACUGCCUGAUGGCGGGGGAUAACUACUGGAAACGGUAGCUAAUACCGCAUAACGUCGCAAGCCCAAAGAGGGGGACCUUCGGGCCUCUUGCCAUCGUAUGUGCCCAGAUGGGAUUAGCUCGUAGGUGGGGUAACGGCUCACCUAGGCGCCGAUCCCUAGCUGGUCUGAGAGGAUGACCAGCCACACUGGAACUGAGACACGGUCCAGACUCCUACGGGAGGCAGCAGUGGGGAAUAUUGCACAAUGGGCGCAAGCCUGAUGCAGCCAUGCCGCGUGUAUGAAGAAGGCCUUCGGGUUGUAAAGUACUUUCAGCGGGGAGGAAGGGAGUAAAGUUAAUACCUUGGCUCAUUGACGUUACCCGCAGAAGAAGCACCGGCUAACUCCGUG
This 490-nucleotide ribosomal RNA is filed under the name uncultured bacterium. RNAcentral describes it as "partial 16S ribosomal RNA". It matches the Rfam family "Bacterial small subunit ribosomal RNA", at positions 30 to 507 of the family's 1533-position model. The record is from RNAcentral.